CGGCGGCAGCUUAUACAUGCAGUCGAACGAGAAAGUCACUUCGGUGGCGAGUACAGUGGCGCACGGGUGAGUAACGCGUAGAUGAUCUACCCUUCAGUCUGGGACAACUCUUGGAAACGGGAGCUAAUACCGGAUAAAACCUUCGGGUUGAAAGAUUUAUCGCUGGGGGAUGAGUCUGCGUACCAUUAGCUUGUUGGUGGGGUAACGGCCUACCAAGGCGACGAUGGUUAGCGGGUCUGAGAGGACGAUCCGCCACACUGGAACUGAGACACGGUCCAGACUCCUACGGGAGGCAGCAGUAGGGAAUAUUGCGCAAUGGGGGCAACCCUGACGCAGCAAUGCCGCGUGAGUGAAGAAGGCCUUCGGGUCGUAAAGCUCUUUUAUGGGGGAAGAUGAUGACGGUACCCCAUGAAUAAGCACCGGCUAACUACGUGCCAGCAGCCGCGGUAAUACGUAGGGUGCGAGCGUUGUUCGGAAUUACUGGGCGUAAAGGGCGUGCAGGCGGAUUGGCAAGCCGGAGGUGAAAGCCCGGGGCUCAACCCCGGAGGGUCUUUCGGAACUGCCAGUCUUGAGAGGGUCAGGGGCCAGCGGAAUUCCUGGUGUAGAGGUGAAAUUCGUAGAGAUCAGGAGGAACACCGGCGGCGAAAGCGGCUGGCUGGGGCCACUCUGACGCUGAGGCGCGAAAGCGUGGGGAGCAAACAGGAUUAGAUACCCUGGUAGUCCACGCCGUAAACGAUGGGCACUAAGCGUCCGACGGGUUCGA
RNAcentral lists this ribosomal RNA (763 nucleotides) under uncultured bacterium. RNAcentral describes it as "bacterial SSU rRNA". It matches the Rfam family "Bacterial small subunit ribosomal RNA", at positions 37 to 835 of the family's 1533-position model. The record is from RNAcentral.